Molecule: long non-coding RNA, 2150 nt
Filed under: Glycine max (soybean)
Lineage: Eukaryota; Viridiplantae; Streptophyta; Magnoliopsida; Fabales; Fabaceae
Description: long non-coding RNA (GMAX_LNC004095)
Source: RNAcentral
UAAAAACCAACGCCAAUAACUAUACAAUCAGACUUAUUUACAAAAAAUAUCUUAAGUAUAAAAUAGAGAUUCAAUACUCUUUUGACAUUAUCAACACUAGUGGCGUGUGAGUAGACUAGACUGGAUACAUGUGCACUAUGAUUAUUGAUUUUGGAUGGAGGACAUAAUUAUGUGGUCCCUGUUACCUAGCCAAAAAGAUCAUUAGCUUCAAGGAGAUGAGUCAUUUGCUGGUACCACGUAUGAUAAUUGACUGAUGCUAAAAAAAAAUGGAUAGAUUGAAAGUGAUAGUGAGUGCCCAUGAGAAAAAAAAAAGAGAAAAAAAAUUGAUUUGCUUGUUAAGCUCCUAAUUCUAUGAUACCAUAUUAAAAGAUAAAAUAACAUAUUUAUUCACAUUUAAUUAUGAAAGUAUUAUAUAUAGAGAGAGAAUACAUACUAAUAACAAACUGAAAAUUAUCUACUAAAUGAUUCAUAACUUGUAACUAACUGCUCUAUCAUAUGAAUAGUCUAACAUGUUUCGGAUUCUAGCCAAAAAGAACAAAGAAAAAUAUUUCCAACACCAAUGACUUCUCUUUUUUUUUUUUUUUUUAAACUGUCUCCCACGUGAAACAGGGCAUAACAGGGAAUUUCGGGGUCUUCAACAAAAGUCUCUAAACACUACAGUUCGAAUUAAAUUCAAACAUUCAGCUACUUGCCUCGUUACUCUUUGAAGAUUUAGGAGGAAAAAUAUUUAACCACUUUAAUUCUAUAGAGACAUAGAAAGGGUGUGAUAAUUAAUGAGAGAAAGGCCUAUGAUCGUAAAUUGUAAUUGGAUGCUCUAAAAUGUGUAGCUACCUUCAUAUUUAUAAUACUAGGUCAAGUAUAUAUAACUCUAACACUCCCCGUCAAGCUAGAGAAUAACUGUUAAUCAUGCCCAAUUUGUCACAAAUACAAACACUAUGCCCCCGAUUCAAAGUUUUGGUAAACACAUCUGCUAGUUUUUUGUUUAUCUUGACAUAAGAAGUAAAUAUUUGGUUUUGUUUCACCUUCAUGGAUGAAGUGACAAUCUGUCUCAAUGUGUUUCGUUCUUCCAUAAAAAACUAGAUUGAUGUUAUUUUAUGGCAGCUUGAUUGUAGCACCAUAUAUAAUUUCACAGGCAUGUAUUAGAAAAUCCUAUCUCUUUCAAAAUCUGCCCACCCAUAUCAACUAACAAGUUGUUUGAGUUAUAUCCUUGUAUUUUGUCUCUACACUGGAUCUAGCCACCACAUUAUACUUCUUACUUUUCCAAGAGAUCAGAUUACCUAUCCCAGACCAUUCUUCCAUUGUGAUAGGAAGAUCCCCUUCUUCAAGAACAUAACCUCAAUACCCAAUAAAUAAUUCAAAACACCCAAAUCUUUCGUUUGAAGAAAACUCUCCAAGUCGUUAAUGCCUCUGCUAUCACUUUUUUUAAUCACAAUAUCAUCAACAUACACCACAAGUGAAAUGUUGCCAAUGUUAGUUUUUUUUAUAAAAAACUAUAUGAUCACUCUGUCUCUAUUUCAUUCCAAAUGCAAGGACCAUAUCACUAAAUCUCCUAAACCAAGUUCUAGGCAAUUGCUUCUAGCCAUAUAACAACUUCCUUAAGUGGCAAACCCUGCCAAACUCUACCUGAGAAACAAAGUAGGUGGUUGCUCCAUUAUCACCUCCUCUUUUGUAAGUCACUUUGCAAGAAAGAAUUAUUUAAUUACAUCCAAUUAAAACAACGGCCAAUGAUGUAUAGAAGCAAGAGAAAUAAGAAUGAGUAGAGGAAAGCUUUGCAGUAGGCAAAAAAGCAUCAACAUAAUCAAUUUCGUAAGUUUGAUCAUACCCGUUGGCAAUGAGGCAAGCCUUUAAAUGAGUCCUAGACUCAACAAGACUCAUAUUGGUUGUAUAAACCCACUUGUAUUGAAUAGCCCUUCUUCCUUGCAGGGAGAGAAAUAAAAUCCCAAGUUUCCUUAUUCUUUCCUUCUCCAUCGCUUGUCACCAGCAACCAUGACUAAGGAGAUCUGAAAGAGACUUAGGGAUAAAACAAAAUCUAGGCCAACAACAAAGGACUUAGAAGUGGAUGACAAAUGAGCAAAAGGCGUGUAAGGAAAUAUAAUUAUGAGGGUAGCUACACAUUAUUGUAUGUACAUAUGUGAGCAAAAGACUUUUUC